CCCCUAGAUGUUCUGGGCCGCACGCGCGCUACACUGAACAGUUCAACAAGUCUUAACCUUGGCCGAUAGGUCUGGGUAAUCUUUGAACGCUGUUCGUGAUUGGGAUAGACCUUUGCAAUUAUGGGUCUUCAACGAGGAAUUCCUAGUAAACGCAAGUCAUCAGCUUGCAUUGAUUACGUCCCUGCCCUUUGUACACACCGCCCGUCGCACCUACCGAUUGAAUGGUCCGGUGAAAUCUCGGGACGGCGGCUUGGUCGCUUGCGUCCGACUGCUGAAACUUGAUUAAACCAUAUCAUUUAGAGGAAGGUGANGUCGUNACA
RNAcentral lists this ribosomal RNA (320 nucleotides) under uncultured eukaryote. RNAcentral's name for it is "partial 18S ribosomal RNA". It matches the Rfam family "Eukaryotic small subunit ribosomal RNA", at positions 1470 to 1796 of the family's 1831-position model. The record is from RNAcentral.